AGUAAAGUCAGCUAAUAAAGCUCUUGGGCCCAUACCCCAAAAAUGUUGGUUUAACCCCUCCUUUACUA
Molecule: transfer RNA, 68 nt
Filed under: Pedioplanis laticeps
Lineage: Eukaryota; Metazoa; Chordata; Lepidosauria; Squamata; Lacertidae
Description: tRNA-Met
Rfam family: tRNA
About the family: Transfer RNA (tRNA) molecules are approximately 80 nucleotides in length. Their secondary structure includes four short double-helical elements and three loops (D, anti-codon, and T loops). Further hydrogen bonds mediate the characteristic L-shaped molecular structure. tRNAs have two regions of fundamental functional importance: the anti-codon, which is responsible for specific mRNA codon recognition, and the 3' end, to which the tRNAs corresponding amino acid is attached (by aminoacyl-tRNA synthetases). tRNAs cope with the degeneracy of the genetic code in two manners: having more than one tRNA (with a specific anti-codon) for a particular amino acid; and 'wobble' base-pairing, i.e. permitting non-standard base-pairing at the 3rd anti-codon position.
Source: RNAcentral